Molecule: ribosomal RNA, 131 nt
Filed under: uncultured bacterium
Lineage: Bacteria
Description: partial 16S ribosomal RNA
Source: RNAcentral
UCUCUCAGUACCGUCAUUAUCUUCCUUGAGGACAGAGCUUUACGACCCGAAGGCCUUCAUCGCUCACGCGGCGUUGCUGCAUCAGGCUUUCGCCCAUUGUGCAAUAUUCCCCACUGCUGCCUCCCGUAGGA